UGGAGGGCCUGUGGGGGAGGGAGUGAGGUCUCAUCCCCCUUCCCAGGCAGUGUGGGCCUUGAGCCUCAGGAGGGCCCAACAGAGCUGGACAGCCCAUCAGUCACUGACGGUCGAGUGGCGCUGCACCAGGAGUUAGGGGCAGGGCCCACUUUUUCCGUUCGGCCUCCAUCUGCCAGGAGGGGCAGGGGCCCUAUGAAAAGAUUCAUCCCGAAGGCACGUCUCUGUCCAUACCAGGAGUAACUGCCGCUUCCCUGAUCAAAGCACUGGGCAAUUACAUUGCUUCCCUUCUAUUCUGUCACGGAAUCAGCCCAGAAACCCUGGAAACCCACAGCGAUGAACUCUCUGGCCGUGUUAAGAGAAGUCUCUUACCCACUUCUAACCAGAUUGCCUGAAGCCAUUCUCGGGAUGGGAGCUAGCAGGUGCUGACUUCUUGCCCUGGGAAGGGAAGAACAUGGCUCUCUGCUUGGAUCUUCUCCUCCGAUGAGUCCUCCAGUUUCAUUCAUUUGACAAAUAUGAACUGGCACCCGCUAUGGACCGGACACUGAGAAUACAAUAGUGAGGAAAUGGGAGUUAUCCUUGGGCUUGAAAAUGACAGCUCCAAGGAAAUGAGGUUGGGCCGGGGUACCAUCAAAGUCAGCAGCUCAGACCCUUAGUACAGGCAAAAAGAGGGAGCCAAGGAGAACUGGGUCUUGGGGGUUGCCUGAAACCCAAACAUGGGGCCCCCUUUUUAAAAAAAAUAAACUUAAAAAAAUUUUUUUUAAUCUUUAUUUAUUUUUGAGAGAGAGACAGCAUGUGAGCAGGGGAGGAGCAGAGAGAG
Long non-coding RNA from Leopardus geoffroyi (Geoffroy's cat), 817 nucleotides. RefSeq lists it as uncharacterized. The record is from RefSeq and is a predicted model, not a curated record. The transcript has 3 exons. NCBI's taxonomy places the organism in Eukaryota, Metazoa, Chordata, Mammalia, Carnivora, Felidae.